This is a non-coding RNA of Myodes glareolus (Bank vole), 157 nucleotides long. The record is from RefSeq and is a predicted model, not a curated record. NCBI's taxonomy places the organism in Eukaryota, Metazoa, Chordata, Mammalia, Rodentia, Cricetidae.
AUAUUAUCUGGCAGGAGAGAGGUCAUGAUCACGGAAGUACCUCUCUAGGAGUGAAGCUUAUUCCUUGCUCUCCAGAUGUGCUCACCCUUGAUUUCUCCAGGUAUGCGGAGCUCAACUACACAUUCUGUGGUCGUGGGAAACAACAGUCACCCUCCCC